RNAcentral lists this ribosomal RNA (454 nucleotides) under uncultured Sphingobium sp. Its description in RNAcentral is "bacterial SSU rRNA". It matches the Rfam family "Bacterial small subunit ribosomal RNA", at positions 9 to 507 of the family's 1533-position model. The record is from RNAcentral. Lineage: Bacteria; Pseudomonadati; Pseudomonadota; Alphaproteobacteria; Sphingomonadales; Sphingobiaceae.
GAGUUUGAUCCUGGCUACAGAACGAACGCUGGCGGCAUGCCUAAUACAUGCAAGUCGAACGAGAUCUUCGGAUCUAGUGGCGCACGGGUGCGUAACGCGUGGGAAUCUGCCCUUGGGUUCGGAAUAACUUCUGGAAACGGAAGCUAAUACCGGAUGAUGACGUAAGUCCAAAGAUUUAUCGCCCAAGGAUGAGCCCGCGUAGGAUUAGCUAGUUGGUGGGGUAAAGGCCCACCAAGGCGACGAUCCUUAGCUGGUCUGAGAGGAUGAUCAGCCACGCUGGGACUGAGACACGGCCCAGACUCCUACGGGAGGCAGCAGUAGGGAAUAUUGGACAAUGGGCGCAAGCCUGAUCCAGCAAUGCCGCGUGAGUGAUGAAGGCCUUAGGGUUGUAAAGCUCUUUUACCCGGGUAUGAUAAUGACAGUACCGGGAGAAUAAGCUCCGGCUAACUCCGUG